GGCAGUCCCAACUCUUCAUUUGCUUCAACCUACCACAUAGAAGGGAUUGAACAACUGUACCUUAGUGCUUAGGAAUGCAACCUACCCCACAAAUCUAGAAAAUGGUGUCAUUUUGCCUUACUGGGUCCAUUCAUCAUAAAAUAAAUCCCUUCCCACAAUCUACGCCUUGAUCUUCCUCAAAUUUCGUGCCUUAUAAAAUUCAAAAAAUCUAACGGCUCUUCUU
RNAcentral lists this unclassified non-coding RNA (223 nucleotides) under Hevea brasiliensis (rubber tree). Lineage: Eukaryota; Viridiplantae; Streptophyta; Magnoliopsida; Malpighiales; Euphorbiaceae. The record is from RNAcentral.